RNAcentral lists this small RNA (1494 nucleotides) under Rattus norvegicus (Norway rat). RNAcentral's name for it is "uncharacterized LOC102555338". Lineage: Eukaryota; Metazoa; Chordata; Mammalia; Rodentia; Muridae. The record is from RNAcentral.
UGAGGUCAACCUGGGACACACAGUGAGAUCCUGUCUCCAUGUCUUAGCCCCAAAGAAAGCACUAGGUGCCUGAGGUCUUCUGGGAAUCCCCAGUUCCGGAGGUUAAAGCUCCAGGAGGGAAGGUACGCCCAUGGGGUGCCCAGUACUAGACAUGGCCUCUGUGUUCCCAGAAUGUAUGUUAUGACAGGCUGUUUGCCCCUCUCUUCUGUGGUCACUCUCCGGAAGCCACUGCUCACAUUUUUAACUUUAAUAAUCAGAAAGGUAAUAUGAGUGCUCAAGACAUCCCUGGUGGAAGACACAGUCCCAGUGGAUAACCAUCAUUCCAGGAUGCUGGAGGCUCUGAGGCCUUACACUGGGAGCACCAUGCUCCUGUGCUCCAAGAGGUUGCUGGGUGUGAGCACCUCUGCCCAAACCGAAGCCCCCUCUCCUUUCUUAGGAGUCAGAUCUCUUCUCUUGUUACUUCCAGCCAGACAGUGGUGCCAAGAAAGUUCCAGGCUAUAAACUCCAAAGGCCUAUUUCUGUAUCCCGAUGACACAAAGACCCUCAGGUUAAAGUGGGACUGUGAGAAAUGAGGGCUCACUUUAAGCUGCCAAAAGCUGACUGACCUCUGGUCCGAUGCUAAUGGCAGGCAGAGCAGGAGUAGGCUGCAGUUCUUAGACUUGCCACCAGAUGGCGCCUCAACCCUGCACCAGGCACAGAUGCUUGGGAUCCAGCAUCCAGAGCAGACAGGCUAGGAAGAAAUUGCAGAGUCCACCAGGCUGAAACUUGUGCCAAGGAAGGGACAGAGCAGGCACAAAGCAUCCACCCCGACUUGGAUCUGUGGUUUCCACGAGGAGUAGCCAUGCGAUCACGAGGUUUGAGGAUGCGCCUUUCCCUACUGCUUAGCACAGUGAGAUCCUGUCUUCAUGUCUGACCCCCCGCAAAGACCCCUGCACAAGACUCUAGUAUAUGUGUGCCCUAUGAUGUGGUGCUGUCUUGGCUCCUCAUCCCAACAUGGUGCCAGUGACAGGAAGUUGACAGGCUGCAUGCUGUCGUCUGACCAUGAGACUCCUUCAGAGCCUCCAGAUAGCAAAUCGUCUGUCCGUGCUGUGGCCCUCGCCUCCUCUCUUGCCUCUGGGGGGCUUCUCUUUAUGCGUCCCUGUUUAAAGCUGGUUCUGUUGAGCAAGGCUGGCAAGUGGAUGAAAUGUAUCCCUGAGUCUGGAGCCUGUAGCCUCUCUUCCCUCAGCCAGCAAGAGUCAUGUGAGUGUAUGUGCCAGCCCAGUACCCACCACUGCUGCGGGCCGUCUCAGCAAUCCCACAGACUUUUCUUCCAUCCGCUAAGCACCCACUUCCUCACCUCCACUCAGUCCACCGGCCCUCUCUGAGAGGGAGCACUCCACCCAGUCCACCUGUCCUCUCUGAGUGGGAGCACCCCACCCAGUCCACCUGUCCUCUCUGAGUGGGAGCACCUCACCCAGUCCACCUGUCCUCUCUGAGAGGGAGCACCCCACCCAG